UGCCCAGCAACUCCUAUCCCUACCUUCUCACGAUACUGGCCGGGAUACGAGCAACCUUAAGGAAGAUCGGGUUACCAAUUCCGGUGGUAACUUUGGCGUAUGCUGACAGGGAAGG
Molecule: ribozyme, 115 nt
Filed under: Aedes aegypti (yellow fever mosquito)
Lineage: Eukaryota; Metazoa; Arthropoda; Insecta; Diptera; Culicidae
Description: drz-agam-1 ribozyme
Rfam family: drz-agam-1 ribozyme
Source: Rfam by way of RNAcentral